AAUGGCGAAGUGAGUUCAAUUCCGGCACAAACGGAGACAACUACGGUUAACAGGAAACCAGGAUUUUUAUUGAGAGAGAGAGUGUUUAACAAAAGUGCUCCCGAUAAUGGAGGACAAAUACCUGGAUUUUACAAUCUUGGUUCUGAUUCCUUUCUCCGUAACUGUUAUGGAUGCGCAGUCGAUGACACUAACCACAGUCUUUAGUUCGUAUAUUUUAAGCUACAAUGGCACAGUCUUUAGUCCGUAUUCGCACACUGUCGAGGUAAUCGGGCUGAAAAGUCUUUCCUAUUAUCAAACGCUUAUUUUCUCCUUUUCUUGAUCUGAAGUCGGGGAUCCGAAAUAAGGUCUUGAUAUGACUUCGCUGCGGAUAGAUGUUCAAUGUUGUAUAGUCGGCCUCUGAGGGGUUGAGCUCUGGGCCGCGGGGUCUGUUCUUGAAGACGGGAG
Molecule: long non-coding RNA, 444 nt
Filed under: Androctonus crassicauda
Lineage: Eukaryota; Metazoa; Arthropoda; Arachnida; Scorpiones; Buthidae
Source: RNAcentral